This 435-nucleotide ribosomal RNA is filed under the name uncultured bacterium. RNAcentral's name for it is "partial 16S ribosomal RNA". It matches the Rfam family "Bacterial small subunit ribosomal RNA", at positions 29 to 507 of the family's 1533-position model. The record is from RNAcentral.
AGCGAACGCUGGCGGCAGGCUUAACACAUGCAAGUCGAACGGGCAUCUUCGGAUGUCAGUGGCAGACGGGUGAGUAACACGUGGGAACGUACCCUUCGGUUCGGAAUAACUCAGGGAAACUUGAGCUAAUACCGGAUACGCCCUUAUGGGGAAAGGUUUACUGCCGAAGGAUCGGCCCGCGUCUGAUUAGCUUGUUGGUGGGGUAACGGCCUACCAAGGCGACGAUCAGUAGCUGGUCUGAGAGGAUGAUCAGCCACACUGGGACUGAGACACGGCCCAGACUCCUACGGGAGGCAGCAGUGGGGAAUAUUGGACAAUGGGCGCAAGCCUGAUCCAGCCAUGCCGCGUGAGUGAUGAAGGCCUUAGGGUUGUAAAGCUCUUUUGUCCGGGACGAUAAUGACGGUACCGGAAGAAUAAGCCCCGGCUAACUUCGUG